UACGGAGGGUCCAAGCGUUAUCCGGAUUUACUGGGUUUAAAGGGUGCGUAGGCGGGCUUUUAAGUCAGCGGUGAAAUCUCCGGGCUCAACCCGGAAAUUGCCGUUGAUACUAUUAGUCUUGAAUUAAGUUGAGGUGGGCGGAAUAAGUCAUGUAGCGGUGAAAUGCUUAGAUAUGACUUAGAACACCGAUUGCGAAGGCAGCUCGCUAAACUUAUAUUGACGCUGAGGCACGAAAGCGUGGGGAUCAAACAGG
Molecule: ribosomal RNA, 253 nt
Filed under: uncultured bacterium
Lineage: Bacteria
Description: partial 16S ribosomal RNA
Rfam family: Bacterial small subunit ribosomal RNA
Source: RNAcentral